AUACUUAGUGGCGGACGGGUGAGUAAUGCUUAAGAAUCUGCCUAGUAGUGGGGGAUAACUUGGGGAAACCCAAGCUAAUACCGCAUACGACCUACGGGUGAAAGGGGGCUUUUAGCUCUCGCUAUUAGAUGAGCCUAAGUCGGAUUAGCUGGUUGGUGGGGUAAAGGCCUACCAAGGCGACGAUCUGUAGCUGGUCUGAGAGGAUGAUCAGCCACACUGGGACUGAGACACGGCCCAG
Molecule: ribosomal RNA, 238 nt
Filed under: uncultured Pseudomonadales bacterium
Lineage: Bacteria; Pseudomonadati; Pseudomonadota; Gammaproteobacteria; Pseudomonadales
Description: partial 16S ribosomal RNA
Rfam family: Bacterial small subunit ribosomal RNA
Source: RNAcentral